GUAGUCCACGCCCUAAACUAUGUCAACUGGUUGUCGGGGAAGCAAUUCCUUGGUAACGAAGCUAACGCGUGAAGCUGACCGCCUGGGGAGUACGGCCGCAAGGUUAAAACUCAAAGGAAUUGACGGGGACCCGCACAAGCGGUGGAUUAUGUGGAUUAAUUCGAUGCAACGCGAAAAACCUUACCUACCCUUGACAUGUACGGAAUCCCCCAGAGACGGGGGAGUGCCCGAAAGGGAGCCGUAACACAGGUGCUGCAUGGCUGUCGUCAGCUCGUGUCGUGAGAUGUUGGGUUAAGUCCCGCAACGAGCGCAACCCUUGCCAUUAGUUGCUACAUUCAGUUGGGCACUCUAAUGGGACUGCCGGUGACAAACCGGAGGAAGGUGGGGAUGACGUCAAGUCCUCAUGGCCCUUAUGGGUAGGGCUUCACACGUAAUACAAUGGCCGGUACAGAGGGCAGCCAACCCGCGAGGGGGAGCUAAUCCCAGAAAGCCGGUCGUAGUCCGGAUUGUAGUCUGCAACUCGACUGCAUGAAGCCGGAAUCGCUAGUAAUCGCGGAUCAGCAUGUCGCGGUGAAUA
Molecule: ribosomal RNA, 577 nt
Filed under: uncultured beta proteobacterium
Lineage: Bacteria; Pseudomonadati; Pseudomonadota; Betaproteobacteria
Description: bacterial SSU rRNA
Rfam family: Bacterial small subunit ribosomal RNA
Source: RNAcentral